UGGGGAAUCUUGCGCAAUGGGCGAAAGCCUGACGCAGCGACGCUGUGUGGGUGAUGAAGGCCUUCGGGUCGUAAAGCCCUGUCAGGGGGGACGAAAUCUCGGCGACUUAAUACGUCGUCGACUUGACGGUACCUCCAAAGGAAGCACCGGCUAACUCCGUGCCAGCAGCCGCGGUAAUACGUAGGGUGCGAGCGUUAAUCGGAAUUACUGGGCGUAAAGCGUGCGCAGGCGGUCGCGCAAGUCAGGUGUGAAAGCCCCGGGCUUAACUUGGGAAUUGCAUUUGAAACUACGUGACUGGAGUGUGGCAGAGGGAGGUGGAAUUCCACGUGUAGCGGUGAAAUGCGUAGAGAUGUGGAGGAACACCGAUGGCGAAGGCAGCCUCCUGGGCCAACACUGACGCUCAUGCACGAAAGCGUGGGGAGCAA
This 425-nucleotide ribosomal RNA is filed under the name uncultured bacterium. RNAcentral describes it as "bacterial SSU rRNA". It matches the Rfam family "Bacterial small subunit ribosomal RNA", at positions 355 to 771 of the family's 1533-position model. The record is from RNAcentral.